This 208-nucleotide ribosomal RNA is filed under the name uncultured bacterium. RNAcentral's name for it is "partial 16S ribosomal RNA". It matches the Rfam family "Bacterial small subunit ribosomal RNA", at positions 524 to 725 of the family's 1533-position model. The record is from RNAcentral.
UACGUAGGGUGCGAGCGUUAAUCGGAAUACUGGGCGUAAAGCGUGCGCAGGCGGUGAUGUAAGACAGGUGUGAAAUCCCCGGGCUUAACCCUGGGAACUGGCAUUUGUGUACUGCAUCGCUGGAGUGCGGCAGAGGGGGAUGGAAUUCCGGCGUGUAGCAGUGAAAUGCGUAGAUAUGCGGAGGAACACCGAUGGCGGAAGGGACAAC